Pundamilia nyererei is the source of this 841-nucleotide long non-coding RNA. RefSeq lists it as uncharacterized. NCBI's taxonomy places the organism in Eukaryota, Metazoa, Chordata, Actinopteri, Cichliformes, Cichlidae. The record is from RefSeq and is a predicted model, not a curated record. The transcript is spliced from 3 exons.
AACGCAGGAGAACAAUUCCUCAAGAAUGAUCCUUACAGCACAGUGUCCCUGCUCUCAGAAGAGGAGAAAGAAACAGCCAGGAAACAGACCAUACCCUCCUUGAAAGAGCUUCUUGAAUUUGCGACACAGCACAAUACCUCAGUGAUAUUUGACCUGAAAAAUAAAGAAACAGAAGAAAUGGACACAAAUGACACAGUAAAGACCAUCUUAGAGUCUGGCAUUCCUCAAAGUCUGAUUCUUUGGCUUCCUUCUAAAGAACGAGAAGUUGUAAAGAAGCAGGCCCCAGACUUUAUCCAGGUUUAUGAAAAUGAAACGGAUUUGGAAAAAAAUAACGGGAGCCACCUAAAUGUGAAAUACAGCGAAAUAAAAAUGAAAAACAUCAGGUAAGAAAUAAAUAGGUGGGUAAGAAAUCUCAAUAUUAUCUACAGUACAUGUUGGUGCCAGGGGCCAUGCACAGCAGUGUGUUAAUUAAAGCUGCGUGUAGCAUGCUGAGACACAGCUCUGACACUUAAUAUAGGGGCGUAGGAUUGGCCUCCAGGAUACAAGAUUCAAAUAAUGUCCCAACCCAGGUGUUCUGUUCAAUGGCUUAGCAAAAGAACCAACUAAAGAAUGAAAUGCAGUGUAGCAACAUGUUUUAAGAAGUCGCUGAAGCGCUUCACUGAGUGCAAAACAAACUCACCGUGGCGUGGCCUUGCUACAAUGUCUCGCAAAAUAAAACUAUUCCUGGGUGGCACAAUUAAUGCAUAAGUACUACUCAAAUAUGUGUGACUUAUUAGGGGUCAUCAGGGAUUUGUAAUGUGCAGACUGGGCGUACAUAACUCAUUAUCCUUAUCCUUAUACU